CAAUAGCGUAUAUUAAAGUUGUUGCAGUUAGAACGCUCGUAGUCGGAUUUCGGGGCGGGCCGACCGGUCUGCCGAUGGGUACGCACUGGUCGGCGCGUCCUUCCUUCCGGAGACCGUCCCUACUCUUAACUGAGCGGGGGCGGGAGACGGGACUUUUACUUUGAAAAAAUCAGAGUGUUUCAAGCAGGCAGCUCGCUCUUGCAUGGAUUAGCAUGGGAUAAUGAAAUAGGACUUUGGUGCUAUUUUGUUGGUUUCGAACACCGAAGUAAUGAUGAGAAGGGACAGUCAGGGGCACUCGUAUUCCGCCGAGAGAGGUGAAAUUCUCAGACCAGCGGAAGACGAACCACUGCGAAAGCAUUUGCCAGGGAUGUUUUCACUGA
Molecule: ribosomal RNA, 380 nt
Filed under: uncultured eukaryote
Lineage: Eukaryota
Description: partial 18S ribosomal RNA
Rfam family: Eukaryotic small subunit ribosomal RNA
Source: RNAcentral